RNAcentral lists this ribosomal RNA (192 nucleotides) under uncultured bacterium. RNAcentral's name for it is "partial 16S ribosomal RNA". It matches the Rfam family "Bacterial small subunit ribosomal RNA", at positions 335 to 524 of the family's 1533-position model. The record is from RNAcentral.
ACUCCUACGGGAGGCAGCAGUGAGGAAUAUUGGUCAAUGGGGGCAACCCUGAACCAGCCAUGCCGCGUGAAGGAUGAAGGUCCUAAGGAUUGUAAACUUCUUUUGUACGGGGGUAAUUUACGAGUCGUGACUUGUAUUGAAAGUACUGUACGAAUAAGCAUCGGCUAACUCUGUGCCAGCAGCCGCGGUAAU